CCUUGUACACACCGCCCGUCAAGUCAUGAAAGUCGGUAACACCCGAAGCCAGUGGCCUAACCCGCAAGGGGAGGAGCUGUCGAAGGUGGGAUCGGUGAUUAGGACU
RNAcentral lists this ribosomal RNA (106 nucleotides) under uncultured bacterium. RNAcentral describes it as "partial 16S ribosomal RNA". It matches the Rfam family "Bacterial small subunit ribosomal RNA", at positions 1379 to 1482 of the family's 1533-position model. The record is from RNAcentral.